RNAcentral lists this ribosomal RNA (254 nucleotides) under uncultured bacterium. Its description in RNAcentral is "partial 16S ribosomal RNA". It matches the Rfam family "Archaeal small subunit ribosomal RNA", at positions 474 to 727 of the family's 1478-position model. The record is from RNAcentral.
UACCAGCACCCCGAGUGGUCGGGACGUUUAUUGGGCCUAAAGCAUCCGUAGCCGGUUCUACAAGUCUUCCGUUAAAUCCAACUGCUUAACAGGUGGGCUGCGGAAGAUACUAUAGAGCUAGGAGGCGGGAGAGGCAAGCGGUACUCGAUGGGUAGGGGUAAAAUCCGUUGAUCCAUUGAAGACCACCAGUGGCGAAGGCGGCUUGCCAGAACGCGCUCGACGGUGAGGGAUGAAAGCUGGGGGGAGCAAACAGG